UACGUAGGGGGCAAGCGUUGUCCGGAAUCACUGGGCGUAAAGCGCACGUAGGCGGAUGUGUCAGUCAGGGGUGAAAUCCCGGAGCUCAACUUCGGAACUGCCUUCGAUACUGCGGGUCUCGAGUCCGGGAGAGGUGAGUGGAAUUCCUAGUGUAGAGGUGAAAUUCGUAGAUAUCUGGAGGAACACCGGUGGCGAAGGCGGCAUCCUGGACCGGUAUUGACGCUGAGGCGCGAAAGCCAGGGGAGCAAACGGG
RNAcentral lists this ribosomal RNA (253 nucleotides) under uncultured bacterium. RNAcentral describes it as "partial 16S ribosomal RNA". It matches the Rfam family "Bacterial small subunit ribosomal RNA", at positions 524 to 776 of the family's 1533-position model. The record is from RNAcentral.